CUCACUUCCCAGGGAACAUGCAGACCAGUGCCUUCCUGCGCCAUUCAUUGCCUCAAUCCCGGUACAACCACAAACUGAAUUGGACCCUCUUCAACUGGGUGACUCAGUCUUACUUCAGGAACUGCAUUCUCAAUUGUUGGAACCUCACUGGACUGGACCCCAUAUAAUCAUACUUACUACCCCAAUGGUGACGAAGCUUUUGGGCCAC
RNAcentral lists this long non-coding RNA (208 nucleotides) under Marmota monax (woodchuck). The record is from RNAcentral. Lineage: Eukaryota; Metazoa; Chordata; Mammalia; Rodentia; Sciuridae.